GACAGAGGGUGCAAACGUUGUUCGGAAUUACUGGGCGUAAAGCGUGUGUAGGCGGUCUGCUAAGUCUGAUGUGAAAGCCCUGGGCUCAACCCAGGAAGUGCAUUGGAUACUGGAAGACUUGAAUACGGGAGAGGGUAGUGGAAUUCCUAGUGUAGGAGUGAAAUCCGUAGAUAUUAGGAGGAACACCGGUGGCGAAGGCGGCUACCUGGACCGAUAUUGACGCUGAGACGCGAAAGCGUGGGGAGCAAACAGG
Molecule: ribosomal RNA, 253 nt
Filed under: uncultured bacterium
Lineage: Bacteria
Description: partial 16S ribosomal RNA
Rfam family: Bacterial small subunit ribosomal RNA
Source: RNAcentral